GGGGGGCGGAGUUUCUCUUUCCCAGUCCUGGGAUUUGUCAGAGGAAUGGUAUCCAUGGAGACAGAAACCAAGGCAGGGGUUCCAGGAAUCCAAGGGAGUUGAAGUGGGUCACUUACUCAGUAGGUAAUGGCUGUUGGUGGAUGAAAAGCCCAGCAAUGUGAAUGGUUCUCAACUGGAGCCCCAGGAAGGAGAGGAGAGACAACGAGACAGGAAAGGAAAGAGACUGGAUGGAGGCUAGGGAAGGCCUGGAACCUCAAACACCUGACUUGGGUUUCAGCACCAACAUGUAAGGAAAGAACUAAACGAAUGAAAUAAAGAGAGAAAUAGGAAAGCAACCUCAUGGAUCAGAGACCUCCUUGCCAUUUUGUUUCCACAUCCACCACCAGUCUUCUCAUCUCUUUGAAGAGUAACAAGAGUACAUAUGCUUUUCACCAGAGGAAAUUUGAGAUAUUCCUGGAGAGGAGGACCUCAAAUCAGGAUAUAACUCAUUGGUAGAGUGCUUGCUGUUGGUAAAGAUGGUUCCUGGAGCGCUUCUCUUCCAGGAGCUCAGGUCCAUGACCCACUGAAUGGUGCGCAAACCGUCACCUCCAAUCCUUGAAGUGGCGAAAGCUCCCGGCCAAUGAAGAAGUAACAACCCACUCACCCUGCUCCUCCUCAUCCUGCGUUGAGCCCAUAAAUAUCAACACUCUGUUCGUGUGUUCCCUGUCUCUCUCUUCCCUUCUCCUCUCUUUUCUCUCUCU
Non-coding RNA from Ictidomys tridecemlineatus (thirteen-lined ground squirrel), 740 nucleotides. NCBI's taxonomy places the organism in Eukaryota, Metazoa, Chordata, Mammalia, Rodentia, Sciuridae. The record is from RefSeq and is a predicted model, not a curated record.